AUGAACGCUGGCGGCGUGCCUAAUACAUGCAAGUCGAGCGAACGGACGAGAAGCUUGCUUCUCUGAUGUUAGCGGCGGACGGGUGAGUAACACGUGGAUAACCUACCUAUAAGACUGGGAUAACUUCGGGAAACCGGAGCUAAUACCGGAUGAUAUUUUGAACCGCAUGGUUCAAAAGUGAAAGACGGUCUUGCUGUCACUUAUAGAUGGAUCCGCGCUGCAUUAGCUAGUUGGUAAGGUAACGGCUUACCAAGGCAACGAUGCAUAGCCGACCUGAGAGGGUGAUCGGCCACACUGGAACUGAGACACGGUCCAGACUCCUACGGGAGGCAGCAGUAGGGAAUCUUCUGCAAUGGGCGAAAGCCUGACGGAGCAACGCCGCGUGAGUGAUGAAGGUCUUCGGAUCGUAAAACUCUGUUAUUAGGGAAGAACAUAUGUGUAAGUAACUGUGCACAUCUUGACGGUACCUAAUCAGAAAGCCACGGCUAACUACGUG
Molecule: ribosomal RNA, 496 nt
Filed under: uncultured bacterium
Lineage: Bacteria
Description: partial 16S ribosomal RNA
Rfam family: Bacterial small subunit ribosomal RNA
Source: RNAcentral